GACGAACGCUGGCGGCGUGCUUAACACAUGCAAGUCGAACGGUGAAGCGCCUUCCUUUUUGGUGGGUGUGGAUGAGUGGCGAACGGGUGAGUAACACGUGAGUAACCUGCCCCCUUCUUCUGGAUAACCGCAGGAAAGUGUGGCUAAUACGGGAUAUUCUGGGUCUGUCGCAUGAUGGGUCUGGGAAAGAUAUUGUUUCGGUGGGGGAUGGGCUCGCGGCCUAUCAGCUUGUUGGUGGGGUGAUGGCCUACCAAGGCGGUGACGGGUAGCCGGCCUGAGAGGGUGGACGGUCACACUGGGAAUGAGACACGGCCCAGACUCCUACGGGAGGCAGCAGGGGGGAAUAGUGCACAAUGGGCGCAAGCAUGAUGCAGCGACGCCGCGGGAGGGAUGGAGGCCUUCGGGUUGUGAACCUCUUUCGCCAGUGAAGCAGGCCUGCCUCGUUUGUGGGUGGGUUGACGGUAGCUGGAUAAGAAGCGCCGGCUAACUACGUG
Molecule: ribosomal RNA, 494 nt
Filed under: uncultured bacterium
Lineage: Bacteria
Description: partial 16S ribosomal RNA
Rfam family: Bacterial small subunit ribosomal RNA
Source: RNAcentral